Long non-coding RNA from Hippocampus comes (tiger tail seahorse), 903 nucleotides. RefSeq lists it as uncharacterized. The record is from RefSeq and is a predicted model, not a curated record. Lineage: Eukaryota; Metazoa; Chordata; Actinopteri; Syngnathiformes; Syngnathidae. The transcript has 2 exons.
ACGUACGUCUGAGAUUACAAUUCAAAUGCUUCUCUCCCUGUCUACUUUGAUGUCACACCCAGGGCCCAGGUCACUUAGGACCUGGUUGUUAUGGUUACCCUUUGUUACACUGCGCAUAGAGCCGGAAACAUGACACUCCGCUACGCGGGAAUACUGAACACACGUGCGAGAUCAAAACAGUUUUCUCUCGAGGACCGUGCGCAACACAGUGCGAUAGCCGAGGUAAUGCGGGAUUGUGGAUGACGGGCAGGCGAGCCGGGCCACCAAAAGCACAUCGGAGGGCCAUCAGAUCAAUCCUCGUAAUCGAGAAGAUGAAAGCUACAAAUAACGGCCAUUUGCCGCAGAAAAUAAUCAUUGCCGGGAGAUUAUAUUUUCAGCACUCUUAUUGAACAGGUAAAAACCUACAAGGCAGACUUUCAAUCAACUCUGGGCAAAGUCUCACUUACAAAUCCCAGUCGGUUUAUCUGCAGGUCUCACAGAUUAGAAUAUAAUUGGUUUGUGUCUAAUAAAAUAAAACCCGGCGAAAUGCUCUCCUAAUUCAAUGAGGAAUGUAAUCAGAGAGUUCGGGGGAGCCACACCUGCGGUCAUAGUUUGCUGAUUUCAUUUGCCCAAAGUCCUACCGUCUCGCAGCGGUAUAUGACUCACGCAAAGAAGCGCACAUGAAAGGGUAAAGACGUCGCCAUGGAGCUUUGUCUGUUCAUACACGGGCUGACGCGGACGUGGAGCGGAAAACCCGAGGACGUGGGAGAAAUAAGACAACCUGGCGCUGGUGUCAACUCUAAAAAUAAAUAAACAAAAAUCACUUUUUCUGUCGUGUGUUUCUUCGAACCGAUUCCUGGGGAAAUCACUGAAGACCUGCUCCGGAAGCCUUGAGCCUUAUUUUAUUUUGCACAGAAACACACA